RNAcentral lists this long non-coding RNA (391 nucleotides) under Homo sapiens (human). Its description in RNAcentral is "non-protein coding lnc-SGCG-8:1". The record is from RNAcentral. Lineage: Eukaryota; Metazoa; Chordata; Mammalia; Primates; Hominidae.
UCCUCUAAUUGGGACUCCGAGCCAGGGCUACUUCUGGCGUUGGCCCAGCUCCAAGAAGGCCAUCCCAGCCAUCACUCUUCCACCUGCUCCUUAGAGAAGGGAAGAUGAGCGAGUUGAGCUUGAAGUCCAGCCAGCCCUUGGCCUCCAAGUGGGAAAAGGAUGGCACUGAGAAGCGGGGCUGGGGCAGGCCACGCAAGCAGCCUCCGAAAGAGCCCAGAGAAGUGCCAACACCUAAGAGACCUCUGGGCGACCAAAGGGAAGCAAAAACAAAGGCGCUGCCAAGUCCCAGAAAACCAUCACAACUCCAGGAAGGAAACCAAGGGGCAGACCCACAAAACUGGAAAAGGAGGAAGAGGAGGGCAUCUUGCAGGAGUCCUCGGGGGAGGAGCAG